GAUGAAGAACGCAGCGAAAUGCGAUAAGUGAUGUGAAUUGCAGAAUUCAGUGAAUCAUCGAAUCUUUGAACGCACAUUGCGCCCGCCAGUAUUCUGGCGGGCAUGCCUGUUCGAGCGUCAUUUCAACCAUCAAGCCCCGGGCUUGUGUUGGGGACCUGCGGCUGCCGCAGGCCCUGAAAUGCAGUGGCGGGCUCGCUGUCACUCCGAGCGUAGUAGUUACAUCUCGCUCUGGGCGUGCUGCGGGUUCCGGCCGUUAAAAGCCUUAUUUACCCAAGGUUGACCUCGGAUCAGGUAGGAAGACCCGCUGAACUUAAGCAUAUCAAUAAGCGGAGGA
Molecule: unclassified non-coding RNA, 334 nt
Filed under: soil metagenome
Description: partial contains 5.8S ribosomal RNA, internal transcribed spacer 2, and large subunit ribosomal RNA
Rfam family: 5.8S ribosomal RNA (bases 1-120)
Source: RNAcentral